RNAcentral lists this ribosomal RNA (792 nucleotides) under Brevundimonas bullata. RNAcentral's name for it is "bacterial SSU rRNA". It matches the Rfam family "Bacterial small subunit ribosomal RNA", at positions 28 to 867 of the family's 1533-position model. The record is from RNAcentral. Lineage: Bacteria; Pseudomonadati; Pseudomonadota; Alphaproteobacteria; Caulobacterales; Caulobacteraceae.
AGCGAACGCUGGCGGCAGGCCUAACACAUGCAAGUCGAACGGACCCUUCGGGGUUAGUGGCGGACGGGUGAGUAACACGUGGGAACGUGCCUUUAGGUUCGGAAUAGCUCCUGGAAACGGGUGGUAAUGCCGAAUGUGCCCUUCGGGGGAAAGAUUUAUCGCCUUUAGAGCGGCCCGCGUCUGAUUAGCUAGUUGGUUGAGGUAACGGCUCACCAAGGCGACGAUCAGUAGCUGGUCUGAGAGGAUGGCCAGCCACAUUGGGACUGAGACACGGCCCAAACUCCUACGGGAGGCAGCAGUGGGGAAUCUUGCGCAAUGGGCGAAAGCCUGACGCAGCCAUGCCGCGUGAAUGAUGAAGGUCUUAGGAUUGUAAAAUUCUUUCACCGGGGACGAUAAUGACGGUACCCGGAGAAGAAGCCCCGGCUAACUUCGUGCCAGCAGCCGCGGUAAUACGAAGGGGGCUAGCGUUGCUCGGAAUUACUGGGCGUAAAGGGCGCGUAGGCGGACAUUUAAGUCAGGGGUGAAAUCCCAGAGCUCAACUCUGGAACUGCCUUUGAUACUGGGUGUCUUGAGUGUGAGAGAGGUAUGUGGAACUCCGAGUGUAGAGGUGAAAUUCGUAGAUAUUCGGAAGAACACCAGUGGCGAAGGCGACAUACUGGCUCAUUACUGACGCUGAGGCGCGAAAGCGUGGGGAGCAAACAGGAUUAGAUACCCUGGUAGUCCACGCCGUAAACGAUGAUUGCUAGUUGUCGGGCUGCAUGCAGUUCGGUGACGCAGCUAACGCAUAAGCAA